UUUAAAGAGAGUUUGAUCCUGGCUCAGGACGAACGCUGGCGGCGUGCCUAAUACAUGCAAGUCGAACGAACGGAGGAAGAGCUUGCUCUUCCAAAGUUAGUGGCGGACGGGUGAGUAACACGUGGGCAACCUGCCUGUAAGUUGGGGAUAACUCCGGGAAACCGGGGCUAAUACCGAAUG
RNAcentral lists this ribosomal RNA (180 nucleotides) under Listeria monocytogenes. Its description in RNAcentral is "partial 16S ribosomal RNA". It matches the Rfam family "Bacterial small subunit ribosomal RNA", at positions 1 to 175 of the family's 1533-position model. The record is from RNAcentral. Lineage: Bacteria; Bacillati; Bacillota; Bacilli; Caryophanales; Listeriaceae.